This 374-nucleotide unclassified non-coding RNA is filed under the name Ficus dammaropsis. Its description in RNAcentral is "partial contains external transcribed spacer and 18S ribosomal RNA". Lineage: Eukaryota; Viridiplantae; Streptophyta; Magnoliopsida; Rosales; Moraceae. The record is from RNAcentral.
UGCUCUUUGCUUGCGCAACAACUGUUGACCCYUCAUCCGUUUCAUUUUUGCCCCAAGAUUGCGCUUGCUCUUCUUGGGCACGACCCUUGGUUCCUGUGUUGCCUUCCCAUCGUAUGGAAAAUUUCGUGAGAUAGCCCCACCCCUUUCCUCCUUAUGGCUUUGCGGCUAUAAAGUGAACCUCAAAAGCAGUCCCCGUGUCCUGGACAUAUCCUCUGACUUUUGUUGUGGCUGUCUUGGUCCACAGGAGAACUGCUCGCGCACUCGGAUAUGGAAAAUUAAGCAGACAUGGGGGGGUCUUGGCGUUCAGUYGCUCCAAUYAAGUCCCUCGAUANGAAUGACUUUUGCUACCUCAUUGACAGUAGGCCAUCUAGGCC